UCAAGCUCAGGCUUGGAUUUGGGCCUUCGUCUCCUGUUUCCAGAGGACGAGCCCUAAAAAACAUCGGCGGUGGCCCCGAGCCUCAAGCGUAGUAGAAUUUUAUCCCGCUUUGAGAGGGCCUUCGGGCGUCGCUCGCUUCCAGCAACCCCAAAUUUCUUAAGGUUGACCUCGGAUCAGGUAAGGAUACCCGCUGAACUUAA
This 200-nucleotide unclassified non-coding RNA is filed under the name soil metagenome. RNAcentral describes it as "partial contains internal transcribed spacer 2 and large subunit ribosomal RNA". The record is from RNAcentral.